GCGUGCAUAGUGUUUACUUCAUAUUUUUCAUUAACAAUUGUUGAAAACGUGAUACUUAUUUAUGAAAAGUAGUAUUUAUUUAAAAAUGGUAAAUAAAUGUAUUGUUCAUGGGUGUACAAGUGGACUAGUCAAGUUUCGUAAUAGGAAUGCUAAAUUAAAUCGGAGAAAUACGUCUUUAUUCACUGUACCACAGCACCCUGAUCUGGUAAAAUUUCGGAGUAGUGGAUUAAACCAGCAAUUAAUACCAAAAAAACAAUACGUUUGUGAGUUACACUUUAACGAAGAGGAUAUCAUUAAGAGUGAUAAAAUAAAAAUGGCUAAUGGGAUUGAAGAAAUAUUUAGGGAAAGGUAUUCACUUAAGCCCGAAGCUAUUCCAACGUUAAAUCCUACCAAGUUGUGUAAAAUCAGGAGUAAUACUAAUAGUAGUAGUAAUACAGUUAAAACUCCAAAUGUUGUAUGUGAUAUACUAUCAACAAAUGGAAGUGUUAAUAAUGUUGAUACCAGUGGAAGUGUAGCAAAGAAAAAUGAGAAAAUGAUAAUAAUUAAUAAUUCUGUGGUAAAAAUUGUGACCGUCCAAAAAGUACAGUUGCUUCACUAACUUCUGAAGAAAUUAAUAAUUAUGAGAAUGAAGAACAGAUAAAAAAAAUUCUUCACACGAAUUGCCUGGUUCAAAGAUUGAUGUUAAGAAGUAAUCUACAUCAACAAUUAUUAAUGUGCUAGAAUUCAAAGCUUUACCAAAAAAAUGGCUAAAAAGUAAAGUAAAGAAUUUGAAAUUUCGUGUUACAAUUAAUGACAAAUCCAAUAUCUCGAUUAAAUCACUCUUACAAAUAAUUAAAGCGCAAAAAGUGAACUCUAUGGCAAAUAAAGAUGAAGCUUUAAGAAAUGAGAUUUCUAUCCCACCUCCGUUACAACAAUUAGCAGUCCGUGCUUGUUUUAACGCUGUAAAGGCUAAAACUACAAAACAAAGAAGAUAUACGGUACAUUGGGUUUAUGAAUGUUUAUUACUUUGCAUAAAAAAUGCAUCUGUGUAUGAUCGACUCAGAGAAAGUUAAAUCCUCUCUUUUCUUUGCAAAAACACACUUAAUAGAUACAUCCAGAAGUUGGGAAAACUCAGUAUUUCUGCUGGUAAAUGUCGGAAUAAAUAAUUAAAACAUACAUCAAAUUUAUGUAAUAAGUGACUUUCUAGAAUAUUCACUAUGGCACGGUCUCGGAGUAAUCCAUCACCAGGACCAGGGACAGCGCGUUAUACGCACGUCGGUUGUUACUCCGCGCAACCAGUGACCAAAACAGUACCUGGAGAUUUGAAAUUAUUCGUAGGACUUAAAAAGCAAUCGUCGCAAGUGAAUUAAAAAUAUCUAUUACUUAUUUAUUUUAAGUAGCCUUUUAUGCUAUCCUAAUUUACAUAACUCAACUUACAGAUUUCAUCAAUAACAGUUGCUAAUUACAUAUAAAAAAAAAAGAAUGAUAAACAAUUUUACAUUAUAAACGAAUAAAGCUAACAAAAAUAUAAUAGAAGAAAUCUUAUAAUCCACUUCUGUAUGGUAUAUCCUAAAACAUGGAUCAACAUAUAACGCUACAUUACAUUCCUUGCAUUCAUACCUGGUUUCUCUACCAAUUCUGUGAUUACUGCAUACUGCACAUUUUCGAAGAGGAUUUUUUUUUUUUUUUGGCAGACGGAUUCAUAUAUUUGCUUGAACAAUACCUUUCAAUAAGACGUAAUGGGCUACCAUCCAUAUUACUACCUCUUCGGGCCCAUAGAACUCUUGUAGUCUAGAAUACUUACGUCUGCUGUAUAUAUCGAUGGGCUCCUAAGAACGUAUAUAUACGCCUACCGUGCAUAUUGAUGGAUUUCGCAGAACGUAUAUUUACGUCUACCGUAUAUAUUGAUGGACUUCUAAGAAUGUAUAUAUACGUUUACCGCAGUGAAAGGGUUAAAAAUGUUGGAAUUUAAAGCUAAUGACAAAAAACUACUUAAGAAAAAAAGCCGGAACACAAGAAGGAGAAAUUUGCAAAUGAAAGAGAAGAAGUUAAAAAAUUCUUGUUCGCAAUCACUUCCAGUACUCUUACCAUAUUGAAAAUGACCUUACAAGCAACUCUUGAACUGGAAGAAUUUUUACACAAAGAAUGCAACUACGAAUAUUUAUUUAUUGACGUCUCACCUUAAUCAAGAUCAACUGGAAAAAUUUUUUGCUAUCAUAAAAAGUGUUUGUUGCUGUAAUGAUCAUUCAGACACCAUUCUAUUUGGACAGGUUCUCCAAUGACUAUGUUCAUAUUUGCUAGUCACCAAAAAGUCACAAAAGAGUCUAAUGUGAGGUCAUUUCAAUAGUUUGCCUUUAAGAUGUUAAAAAUAAAAAAGAAAUGUUGUUCUAAUAAAUAAUUGAGUAGUUAA
Molecule: unclassified non-coding RNA, 2389 nt
Filed under: Polistes dominula (European paper wasp)
Lineage: Eukaryota; Metazoa; Arthropoda; Insecta; Hymenoptera; Vespidae
Description: uncharacterized LOC107073419, transcript variant X1
Source: RNAcentral